RNAcentral lists this ribosomal RNA (350 nucleotides) under uncultured Pectobacterium sp. RNAcentral's name for it is "SSU rRNA". It matches the Rfam family "Bacterial small subunit ribosomal RNA", at positions 958 to 1308 of the family's 1533-position model. The record is from RNAcentral. Lineage: Bacteria; Pseudomonadati; Pseudomonadota; Gammaproteobacteria; Enterobacterales; Pectobacteriaceae.
AACGCGAAGAACCUUACCUGGCCUUGACAUCCAGAGAACUUAGCAGAGAUGCUUUGGUGCCUUCGGGAACUCUGAGACAGGUGCUGCAUGGCUGUCGUCAGCUCGUGUUGUGAAAUGUUGGGUUAAGUCCCGCAACGAGCGCAACCCUUAUCCUUUGUUGCCAGCGGUUCGGCCGGGAACUCAAAGGAGACUGCCGGUGAUAAACCGGAGGAAGGUGGGGAUGACGUCAAGUCAUCAUGGCCCUUACGGCCAGGGCUACACACGUGCUACAAUGGCGCAUACAAAGAGAAGCGACCUCGCGAGAGCAAGCGGACCUCAUAAAGUAUGUCGUAGUCCGGAUUGGAGUCUCC